CCAGGGGGCCGGGCAGCCGCGCUUAGGCGAGGAAAGUCCGGGCUCCACGAAACAAGGGUGGCGGGUAACGCCCGCCGUGGGCAACCACAGGGAAAGUGCCACAGAGAGCAUACCGCCGAUGGCCCGCCACUUCUUCGGAAGGCACGGGAUCAGGCAAGGGUGAAAGGGUGCGGUAAGAGCGCACCGGGGCUUCGGUAACGCGGCCCGCAUGGCAAACCCCACCCGGAGCAAGGCCGAAUAGGGGCGGCGCGCUGGAAACAGCAGGUGCGUUUCGUACCGACCGCCCGGGUUGGCUGCUCGAGCCACGGAGCAAUCCGUGGCCCAGACGAAUGGCUGCCGCCGCGCGGCUGAUGUGCAAGCAUAUCGCGUGCGGAACAGAACCCGGCUUACAGGCCCCCUGGCACU
This 405-nucleotide RNase P RNA is filed under the name Qipengyuania aquimaris. RNAcentral describes it as "RNase P RNA component class A". It matches the Rfam family "Bacterial RNase P class A". Rfam says of the family: Ribonuclease P (RNase P) is a ubiquitous endoribonuclease, found in archaea, bacteria and eukarya as well as chloroplasts and mitochondria. Its best characterised activity is the generation of mature 5'-ends of tRNAs by cleaving the 5'-leader elements of precursor-tRNAs. Lineage: Bacteria; Pseudomonadati; Pseudomonadota; Alphaproteobacteria; Sphingomonadales; Erythrobacteraceae. The record is from RNAcentral. RNAcentral also lists the same sequence under 1 other name.